Molecule: small RNA, 253 nt
Filed under: Xenorhabdus vietnamensis
Lineage: Bacteria; Pseudomonadati; Pseudomonadota; Gammaproteobacteria; Enterobacterales; Morganellaceae
Description: cspA
Rfam family: cspA thermoregulator
Source: RNAcentral
GUUUGUUUAUUUUUAUGCUAAUAAAGUGAUUCAAAGGAAUUUUUGAAAUGGCAAAAAUCACUGGUACUGUGAAGUGGUUCAAUGAGUCUAAAGGUUUUGGUUUUAUUACUCCAGCUGAUGGUAGCAAAGAUGUAUUUGUACAUUUUUCUGCAAUUAUGAAAGAUGGGUUUAAAACAUUAUCUGAAGGCCAACAAGUUGAGUUUGAAAUUCAGGAUGGUCCUAAAGGUCCUGCUGCUGCAAACGUAUCAGCUUU